CCGAAUUAAGAAGAGAAGCGCCGUCAGGCCCCGCCAGUACUGCGAUCGGAGACGUCGUGGGAACACGGGGUGCCGAACC
RNAcentral lists this small nucleolar RNA (79 nucleotides) under Giardia duodenalis. Its description in RNAcentral is "Giardia intestinalis GlsR3 snoRNA". Lineage: Eukaryota; Fornicata; Diplomonadida; Hexamitidae. The record is from RNAcentral.